Molecule: ribosomal RNA, 442 nt
Filed under: uncultured bacterium
Lineage: Bacteria
Description: partial 16S ribosomal RNA
Rfam family: Bacterial small subunit ribosomal RNA
Source: RNAcentral
CCUACGGGAGGCAGCAGUGGGGAAUAUUGGGCAAUGGACGCAAGCCUGACCCAGCAACGCCGCGUGAAGGAAGAAGGCUCUCGGGUUGUAAACCUCUUUUAAGGGGGAAGAGCAGAAGACGGCACCCCUUUAAUAAGCCACGGCUAAUUACGUGCCAGCAGCUGCGGCAAUACGUAGGUGGCAAGUGUUGCCCGGAUUUACUGGGUGUAAAGGGCGUGUAGCCGGGGAGACAAGUCAGAUGUGAAAUCUACGGGCUCAACCCGUGAACUGCAUUUGAAACUGGUUGCCUUGAGUGUCGGUGAGGUAGGCGGAAUUCGUGGUGUAGCGGUGAAAUGCGUAGAUAUAAGGAAGAACACCGGUGGCGAAGGCAGAUUACUGGACGGUAACUGACGGUGAGGCGCGAAAGCGUGGGGAGCAAACAGGAUUAGAUACCCGUGUAGUC